GAAAGAUGGAUUAACAUAAACAAUUAGAAAGAGUUGAAAAUUUCGACUGCAAGAGGAGCUUAAAGAGAUGAUUUUAAACCGCGAAGGGAAGUAAAAGUCGUAACAAGGUCUCCGUUGGUGAACCAGCGGAGGGAUCAUUA
RNAcentral lists this ribosomal RNA (140 nucleotides) under Fusarium sp. G38. Its description in RNAcentral is "partial 18S ribosomal RNA". It matches the Rfam family "Eukaryotic small subunit ribosomal RNA", at positions 1687 to 1831 of the family's 1831-position model. Lineage: Eukaryota; Fungi; Ascomycota; Sordariomycetes; Hypocreales; Nectriaceae. The record is from RNAcentral.